GCUUAAAAUUAGAACAGCUACGUGGGUGGGGUAGGCUGGGGUAGGAUGAGACAGGGAUAUCUAGGGUAUUGUUUGACUCUUGUUUCGAAGGAGGAGGAGGAGGAGGAAGUGGGGGGGGAAGAGAAUAAGAAGAAAAGGAGGAGGUGGAGAAAAAAUGAAAAAUAAGAAGAGGAAAGGGAAUAUUUUAAGAUACAGGAAGAGAAUAAGAAGAAAAGGAGAAGGAGGUGGAGAAAAAAUGAAAAAUAAGAAAAGGAACGGAAAUGUUUUAAGAUACAAGAUAAAGAUUUGAAAUUAGUUAGGAAAGGGUGGUAGAAAUAAGAGGAAAUGGAGGAGGAGGAAGAGGAAGAAAAUUGAGAGAUGUGUUUGUAGCUGUAGGAAUAAGAGAAAGAGGAGGAGGAGGAAGAAGAAUAACAAGAAAAAAAAAGAAGAGUACAAGGAGGAAAAAGAAAAAGAAGAAGUAAAGAGAAGCAAAAUGAAAAAGAGAAAAAGGAGGAGGAAGAAAAAAGAAAAAAAGAA
Long non-coding RNA from Eriocheir sinensis (Chinese mitten crab), 516 nucleotides. RefSeq lists it as uncharacterized. The record is from RefSeq and is a predicted model, not a curated record. NCBI's taxonomy places the organism in Eukaryota, Metazoa, Arthropoda, Malacostraca, Decapoda, Varunidae. The transcript is spliced from 2 exons.